This 468-nucleotide ribosomal RNA is filed under the name uncultured bacterium. RNAcentral's name for it is "partial 16S ribosomal RNA". It matches the Rfam family "Bacterial small subunit ribosomal RNA", at positions 28 to 506 of the family's 1533-position model. The record is from RNAcentral.
GACGAACGCUGGCGGCGUGCUUAACACAUGCAAGUCGAACGGUUAAGCGAGUGCUUGCACUCGUGGAUCAGUGGCGAACGGGUGAGUAACACGUGAGUAACCUGCCCAUCACUCUGGGAUAAGCACUGGAAACGGUGUCUAAUACUGGAUACGACCAACCCUUGCAUGGGGUGUUGGUGGAAAGAUUUAUCGGUGAUGGAUGGACUCGCGGCCUAUCAGCUUGUUGGCGGGGUAAUGGCCCACCAAGGCGACGACGGGUAGCCGGCCUGAGAGGGUGACCGGCCACACUGGGACUGAGACACGGCCCAGACUCCUACGGGAGGCAGCAGUGGGGAAUAUUGCACAAUGGGUGAAAGCCUGAUGCAGCGACGCCGCGUGAGGGAUGACGGCCUUCGGGUUGUAAACCUCUUUCAGCAGGGAAGAAGCGAAAGUGACGGUACCUGCAGAAGAAGCACCGGCUAACUACGU